Molecule: long non-coding RNA, 1680 nt
Organism: Galeopterus variegatus (Sunda flying lemur)
Lineage: Eukaryota; Metazoa; Chordata; Mammalia; Dermoptera; Cynocephalidae
Exons: 2
Source: RefSeq, a predicted model, not a curated record
UUGGCGCUCCCAGUGCCGCGCUCUCCUGAGUGAGCCACAGGGCCGGCCCUUAAUUUUUUUUAAAGACAGUAUAUAAUGGAAAUUGUACCAUCCAAUCCGAGGGGAAGUGUUUUAAUUUUUAGAUAGCAUGAAAUGUAAGACCACUCAUUUAAACAGUCCUUUUUUAAAAAAUAGGACUUGGUACUGUGAGACGUUGCUAAUAUGUUCUUACGGUAAUGGGUGCCACAAAUAGAAAAUAUCACUGAAUCAGGGACUUGAAUGCACUUUUGCCUGUAUUGAAUAUAGACUGAGAGAGGAAAAUGUAUUUAAAAGAAACAUGAGAAAAGAAUGUGAAAGUUUUACAGGUAGAGGGGUGGAAUGUAAUGUUUAAUGUAGAUGUCAUGGAGUGACAAAAUGGCUUUGCUGGCACUCAAAGCUCCUCACUUAGCUAUUUUCUGAGACGUCAAGAGUUAUGAGGUCUGACUGUAAAACUAGCAUACACACUAAAUGAGUGUUACAUCCUCAAAAUAGUGAAGUUAAGGCUUCACACUAAUUCCAGUGAUAUAGCUUUUAUGAAAAAUAUUUUUAGAAUUCCAGUUUUCAAAUCCAUGUUUGGAUCUACAUUCACUUUUUAAAUAUACUUAAUGGUAAUCAUUUUUUUCUCUUUUAGAAUAUAGUUAAUUUGAGGAGGGAAAACUUAUUCUGAAUAAUAACGGUAGUAGUAAAAAGGGGAACAGUUUUUGCCCAUUUGAAAUGUGGAAGUGAAACACACAAAAUAAGACAGAUUUUUAUGACUAACUCAGAAAGAAAUUCCAAAAUAUGAAUUCGAAUAGCAGCAUUACUGGUUUAUGUGUUUAGCAAAGGAAACACUGACUCUGAUAAAUAAAAUAAACAUCUGGUAUUUUUGUUUUAAAAUACUCUAUUUUAUACUCACACUUUAAGUCAAGCAUUAUGUUAGGUUCCCAUAUGUUUAGGAUAUAAUUUUUAACUAUUAUUACCUGAUUUAAUCAUUAAAUUUAAAAUUCUUUGCCAUGAUAUAUAUGUUCAAAUUCAAACCAUUUUAAAAUGUGAUGAAUGAACUUCACCCAAGUUGGCAACAGUUCUGGUACUAAAAACCGUGGUUGUUUCUUCUGUUUACGUAACCUGCUUAGCAUUGAAUCCCUCCUUACCACGAGGGUUUUUCCUAAGAAGAGUGCUGUUAUUAUUUACCCUUAAUGUCUACAACCCGUGACAUGAGAUUUUUAAAGGUCUUUAUGUGAACUAUGAUAUUGUAAUUUUUGUAAGCAUUUUAAAAAGGGUAACAAAAGUAUGUUUAUAUACUAAUUCUGAUCAGAACAUUAAGCACAGAAAAAUUGAUGGUAUUCAUUAGGUUUUAAGUGAAUGAAGUAGUUCCUUAUAAUAACCAUUGUACAGUAAGGAUAAAACACUAACUCAUUGUGUAUUCAUUUAAAAUUGUAUGUAUUUUUAAAUUGCCAGAAAAAAAGAAAAAAAAAACUUUGUACAUUUGAAGAUUUUUUUUCAACAGCUUUUCAUCUUCAGUGUCUUAAUAUGGAACUUAACCCUUACCAAAAAAGGAAGUUGGCAAAACAGCCUCCUGGCACAAACACUUUUUUAAUAAUGGUAGCCUAAAACUUAAUAUUUUUAUAAAGUAUUAUAAUAUUGUUUUGUGGAUAAUUGAAAUAAAAAUUCUCAUUGAAUGCA